UAGGGAAUAUUGGGCAAUGGGUGAGAGCCUGACCCAGCCAUGCCGCGUGCCGGAAGACGGCCCUACGGGUUGUAAACGGCUUUUAUAUAGGAACAAAAAGGUUUGUGCGCAGACUGUUGAGGGUACUAUAUGAAUAAGCACCGGCUAACUCCGUGCCAGCAGCCGCGGUAAUACGGAGGGUGCAAGCGUUAUCCGGAAUCACUGGGCGUAAAGGGCACGUAGGCGGUCUUCUAAGUCCGAUGUUAAAGCGUGGGGCUCAACCCCAUCACGGCGUUGGAUACUGGUAGGCUUGACGACUGGAGAGGUGAGUAGAAUUACCAGUGUAGCGGUGGAAUGCGUAGAUACUGGUAGGAAUACCCAUUGCGAAGGCAGCUCACUGGACAGUACGUGACGCUGAGGUGCGAAAGUGUGGGGAGCAAACCGGAUUAGAUACCCGUGUAGUCC
Molecule: ribosomal RNA, 444 nt
Filed under: uncultured prokaryote
Description: bacterial SSU rRNA
Rfam family: Bacterial small subunit ribosomal RNA
Source: RNAcentral